CAUAAUGUGAUGACAGAGACAUGAUAUUUCCAUUGUACAUGCAUAGAGAGUCUGCGGCUGGUGUAAGCGGAUAUUGUCAUGGUUAUAUUACCACUCUUAAACAGGAAAACAGAAUUAAGUAUGUUUUCACGGUUGACUGCGUUAUAAGUUAUUUAAGCGGAGUACUAGCUCUAAUUUGGGUGGAACCACGGAAUUAAACUUUCGUCCCUUGU
Molecule: non-coding RNA, 212 nt
Filed under: Dialister invisus
Lineage: Bacteria; Bacillati; Bacillota; Negativicutes; Veillonellales; Veillonellaceae
Description: T-box sequence
Rfam family: T-box leader
About the family: Uncharged tRNA acts as the effector for transcription antitermination of genes in the T-box leader family. T-boxes are found upstream of many aminoacyl-tRNA synthetase genes and some amino acid biosynthetic genes usually in Gram-positive bacteria.
Source: RNAcentral